GGACUACCAUGGCAAUCACGGGUAACGGAGAAUUAGGGUUCGAUUCCGGAGAGGGAGCCUGAGAAACGGCUACCACAUCUACGGAAGGCAGCAGGCGCGAAAAUUGCCCAAUCCUGAUUCAGGGAGGCAGUGACAAGAAAUAACAACUUUCAACUUUGUUGAAAAGUGUAAUGAGGAUAAUUUACAAACCUUACCGAAAGCAAUUGGAGGGCAAGUCUGGUGCCAGCAGCCGCGGUAAUUCCAGCUCCAAAAGCGUAUAUUAAAGUUGUUGCAGUUAAAAAGCUCGUAGUUGAAGUUCUGGCUGUAUUGGGCCUCUGCACUCGAUGCGGAGGAACCAGCAGUCAUCCGCUUGCAAAUACAUGUCCUUCCUUAACCGGUAGGCUGUAUAAGUAAGCACUUUACCUUGAGAAAACAGAGUGUUCCAGGCAGGUUUGUCCGGAAUGCGUUAGCAUGGAAUAAUAGAAUAUGACUGAAGUCGAUUUAUUGGUUAAAGGCUUUAGUAAUGAUUAAUAGGAACAAUCGGGGG
This 526-nucleotide ribosomal RNA is filed under the name uncultured eukaryote. RNAcentral's name for it is "SSU rRNA". It matches the Rfam family "Eukaryotic small subunit ribosomal RNA", at positions 338 to 888 of the family's 1831-position model. The record is from RNAcentral.